GAAGUUCGAUAAGCAGUGCGAAUUGCAGAACCGUGAGUCAUCAGAUUUUUGAACGCAACUGGCGCCAGCUGGCUCUCCAGCUGGCAUGCUUGUUUCAGUGUCUUGUUAUCUCCUCACCCAAAUCUUAAUGCUUGAGAUACCCUUCUCUUGCUAAGUUCGAAAGCACUCUACAUUCUGCAGGCAGCCUUGACUUGUCAAGGGUUGCACUCAAUGCAGCAGUCACAUUUCUAAUGUGAACUCAUUGAGAGUAGAAGUAGCGCAGCUUGACUGCCAGUGCUUAGUCACUCAAACUUUACUUGUAUCUGAAAUCAAGCAGGAUCACCCGCUGAACUUAAGC
This 337-nucleotide unclassified non-coding RNA is filed under the name plant metagenome. Its description in RNAcentral is "partial contains 5.8S ribosomal RNA, internal transcribed spacer 2, and large subunit ribosomal RNA". The stretch from base 1 to 103 matches the Rfam family "5.8S ribosomal RNA", at positions 50 to 154 of the family's 154-position model. The record is from RNAcentral.